UACGGAGGAUGCGAGCGUUAUCCGGAUUUAUUGGGUUUAAAGGGUGCGUAGGCGGAUUUGUAAGUCAGCGGUAAAAAUGCGGUGCUCAACGCCGUAUCGCCGUUGAAACUGCAGGUCUUGAGUGAGCGAGAAGUAUGCGGAAUGCGUGGUGUAGCGGUGAAAUGCGUAGAGAUCAUACAGAACACCGAUUGCGAAGGCAGCUUACCAAACUAUAUCUGACGUUGAGGCACGAAAGCGUGGGGAGCAAACAGG
Molecule: ribosomal RNA, 252 nt
Filed under: uncultured Bacteroidales bacterium
Lineage: Bacteria; Pseudomonadati; Bacteroidota; Bacteroidia; Bacteroidales
Description: partial 16S ribosomal RNA
Rfam family: Bacterial small subunit ribosomal RNA
Source: RNAcentral